This 446-nucleotide ribosomal RNA is filed under the name uncultured bacterium. RNAcentral describes it as "bacterial SSU rRNA". It matches the Rfam family "Bacterial small subunit ribosomal RNA", at positions 354 to 796 of the family's 1533-position model. The record is from RNAcentral.
GUGAGGAAUAUUGGUCAAUGGGCGAGAGCCUGAACCAGCCAAGUCGCGUGAAGGAAGACGGUUCAUAAGGAUUGUAAACUUCUUUUGCAGAGGAGUAACGAUAGGCACGUGUGCCUGUGUGAACGUACUCUGCGAAUAAGUAUCGGCUAACUCCGUGCCAGCAGCCGCGGUAAUACGGAGGAUACGAGCGUUAUCCGGAAUUAUUGGGUUUAAAGGGUGCGUAGGUGGCUAUUUAAGUCAGGGGUGAAAAGCAUGAGCUCAACUCAUGUCUUGCCUUUGAAACUGGACAGCUAGAGAAAAGACGAGGUAUGUGGAAUGUGUGGUGUAGCGGUGAAAUGCAUAGAUAUCACACAGAACUCCGAUUGCGCAGGCAGCGUACCAGACUUCUUCUGACACUGAAGCACGAAAGCGUGGGGAUCAAACAGGAUUAGAAACCCUUGUAGUCC